UACGUAGGGGGCAAGCGUUGUCCGGAAUCAUUGGGCGUAAAGAGCGUGUAGGCGGCCCGAUAAGUCCGCUGUGAAAGUCCAGGGCUCAACCCUGGAAUGCCGGUGGAUACUGUCGGGCUCGAAUCCGGAAGAGGUGACUGGAAUUCCUGGUGUAGCGGUGAAAUGCGCAGAUAUCAGGAGGAACACCGAUGGCGAAGGCAGGUCUCUGGGCAUUAACUGACGCUGAGGAGCGAAAGCAUGGGGAGCGAACAGG
Molecule: ribosomal RNA, 253 nt
Filed under: uncultured bacterium
Lineage: Bacteria
Description: partial 16S ribosomal RNA
Rfam family: Bacterial small subunit ribosomal RNA
Source: RNAcentral